RNAcentral lists this ribosomal RNA (534 nucleotides) under uncultured bacterium. RNAcentral describes it as "bacterial SSU rRNA". It matches the Rfam family "Bacterial small subunit ribosomal RNA", at positions 774 to 1304 of the family's 1533-position model. The record is from RNAcentral.
AGAUAAUAGAUACCCUGGUAGUCCACGCCGUAAACGGUGGGUACUAGGUGUGGGUUUCCUUCCUUGGGAUCCGUGCCGUAGCUAAACGCAUUAAAGUACCCCGCCUGGGGAGUACGGCCGCAAGGCUAAAACUCAAAGGAAUUGACGGGGCCCGCACAAGCGGCGGAGCAUGUGGAUUAAUUCGAUGCAACGCGAAGAACCUUACCUGGGUUUGACAUGCACAGGGCGCCGGCAGAGAUGUCGGUUCCCUUGUGGCCUGUGUGCAGGUGGUGCAUGGCUGUCGUCAGCUCGUGUCGUGAGAUGUUGGGUUAAGUCCCGCAACGAGCGCAACCCUUGUCUCAUGUUGCCAGCACGUUAUGGUGGGGACUCGUGAGAGACUGCCGGGGUCAACUCGGAGGAAGGUGGGGAUGACGUCAAGUCAUCAUGCCCCUUAUGUCCAGGGCUUCACACAUGCUACAAUGGCCGGUACAAAGGGCUGCGAUGCCGUGAGGUGGAGCGAAUCCUUUCAAAGCCGGUCUCAGUUCGGAUCGGGGU